This 643-nucleotide long non-coding RNA is filed under the name Rattus norvegicus (Norway rat). Its description in RNAcentral is "long non-coding RNA NONRATT027006". Lineage: Eukaryota; Metazoa; Chordata; Mammalia; Rodentia; Muridae. The record is from RNAcentral.
CGAAGGGUGAAGCCUGCCAUGGGGUGGGGGAUAGAUGGCACAAGGAAGGAGCAACCUUUGCUCGGUCCACUGAAUCCUGUGAGCCCCAUCCUCCAUUCUCCAGUCUCCUAGGAUACCGGAAUGUUCACAUUAAGACCUUUCUGACCAUCUGACCGGAGAGCUGGGGACUAUGUGUGCACUAAAGAUGCCCAGAAAAACUGCAGUUCUGACUGGCCCAUCCCCAGCACACAGCCAGUAACCCAGCCAGAGCCACCUCCCAGUCCAGUCCAGUCAUAUGCUAUCGAGCCUACAACCUUCUACACCUCUUGCCAAAUACCAGCUCUAGUAAAAUCCACACUACACCAGCCACCUCCUCCAGGAGGACUGCCUUCUUCCACAUUUCCCCCAACUCUCAGGAAACUUCUCUCCUCGAGUAGGCUGAGGUUUCCAGGAAUAGGAAGGUAGGGAAACUGAGGUUGGAGAAGGAAAGACUCUGGUGCUGAAGGAGCUAGAUGGAAAUGAUCUCCUGAAGAGUCUCCGUGGAGUGUGCUUUCCAGCAGACAGGGGCUGGCCCCAUGAUGGAUGGUUUCCCACUUGUCUCCGUCAUCCUCUUUUUCCCCCUUCACCCCACAAUAAACCUCUCUCACACAGAACUACAUUGGCC